AAUCAGGAAAAAAUUAAAGAGGGUUGAAAACCCAAUGCAUGCAGAUUAAUUAAAACAGACUGAACUGGCAACCAAGAGAGAGAGUUUAUAUUGAUUUUUAAUCUGAAACAGAUUAGAUUAUUUUUUUAAAUGGAUGCUUUUAUUUCUGUAUAUAUAGUAUUGAACAUGAACAUUAUUUGAGCAGAAAACAGAAUCUCAUCAGAAGAAUUAAAGUGCAUCAGAAGAAUGGCUCUGACUGAAGCUGAGUUUGAGAGCGGCAGCAUCAUGAAGGAAUGGGGCGGACAGGUUCAGCCGGCUUUGAUAGCAUCCUUCAUCAUCCUCUUCUUCCUGGAGGCCUGUCUUUGGGUCAGAAAUCUCACAAUCAAGAAAAGGCUUCCAGGCCCUUUCGCCUGGCCCUUGGUGGGCAAUGCCAUGCAGCUGGGACAAAUGCCACACAUCACCUUCUCCAAGCUGGCAAAGAAGUACGGAAACGUCUACCAGAUCAGACUCGGGCGAAGCGACAUUGUGGUUCUGAAUGGAGAUGUGGCUAUACGCAAGGCGCUCAUUGAACACAGCACUGAAUUUGCCGGGAGGCCAAACUUUCUGUCUUUUCAGAUGAUCUCCGGCGGUCGGAGCAUGGUGUUCAGCAGUUACAGCAAACAGUGGAAGGUGCAUCGGAAAGUAGCUCAAUCGACUUUGAGAGCAUUCUCGAUGGCAAACACUCAAACCAAACAGACAUUCGAACAACACGUUGUAGGCGAAGCCAUGGAUCUGGUCCAGAAGUUUCUAAGGCUCAGCGCCGACAGACGAGACUUCAAUCCUUCACACGAAUUCACCGUCGCCGCCGCAAACGUCAUCUGCGCGCUUUGCUUUGGUAAACGCUACGGCCUUGACGAUCCCGAGUUCAGGACUCUCCUGAAAAGAGUGGAAAAGUUUGGGGAAACUGUUGGUGCUGGAAGCCUGGUGGAUGUCAUGCCUUGGUUGCAGUCGUUUCCGAAUCCGGUCCGAAGCGUUUAUCAAAACUUCAAGCUCAUUAAUGAAGAGUUCUUCGCUUAUGUGAAGGACAAAGUGGUGCAGCAUAGAGACACGUACGACCCUGAGGUCACCCGAGACAUGAGCGAUGCAAUCAUUGGCGUAAUUGAGCACGGGAAAGAGAGCAUGCUGACUAAAGACUUUGUUGAGUCUACGGUCACUGAUUUAAUCGGUGCAGGACAAGACACAGUGUCCACAGUCAUGCAAUGGAUACUUCUGCUUUUAGCCAAAUACCCAUCAAUCCAAACCAAACUCCAAGAGCAGAUUGAUAAAGUAGUAGGUCGUGGCAGACUCCCAUCAAUAGACGACAAGAGCAACCUGGCCUACCUGGACGCCUUCAUCUACGAAACCAUGCGCUACACCAGCUUCGUCCCCGUCACCAUACCGCACUCCACCACCUCAGACGUCACCAUCGAAGGUCUCCACAUCCCCAAAGACACCGUAGUGUUCAUCAACCAAUGGUCCGUCAACCACGACCCUCAAAAGUGGCAGGAUCCUCACAUCUUCAACCCGUCGAGAUUCCUGGACGAGACCGGAGCUCUGGAUAAAGACCUGACCAACAGCGUGAUGAUCUUCUCCACAGGUAAGAGAAGAUGCAUCGGCGAUCAGAUCGCCAAAGUGGAGGUUUUUCUGUUCUCUGCCAUCCUUUUGCACCAGUGCUCGUUUUGAGAGCAACCCCUCUCAGGAUCUCUCCAUGGACUGCUCGUAUGGUUUAACACUGAAGCCGCUCCAUUACACAAUCUCAGCCAAGCUUAGAGGAAAACUGUUUGGCUUGGUAUCGCCGGCAUGAGUUAUUUUUGUGACUUAAGCCCAGCAAAGACUGCACAUAUUACAAAUAUAUUCCACAUAACAAUGAGUUUAGUAAAGCUGCACUGAAUGCUGUUUAGUAAUUCUAUAUUUAAUAUUUAUACACAUUUGCAAUGAUUCAAUGAACUGAUUUAAUCACAUCCAUAGAAAAUGUUGUCAGGUAAUGUUUUAAUUGAUUUAUGUUUAUAAAACAUUGUUUAUGCUUCAAAAUAAUGAUAUAAGGACUGCAAUAUGAAAUGUUUAUGGUCCAAUGCUAAGCAACUAUCACUGUAGACAUAUCAAUUAUUAUGUAAUAUUAUGCAAUUGUUUGAUCGUGUUGAGUCUUGUUAAUGGGCAGCAGCUGUUGGAGAACUUUUACUUCCUAUGAGCUCGACUCAGAUUUGGCAUAGCAAUGCAUUUAAUUACACUUGCAUAAAACAGUAUUACGAUGUGAUUAUAGGCAUUUAAACAUUUAUUAAACAACUGUGUUUAUAAAUUCUGUUCUUAAUAAAAUGCAUAGACAUUUAUUCACUGAAUUCUUAAAGAAAGGCUACAAGGGUCACUUGUUUAGUGACAAUGGCAAUUUGCAAUCAAUGCUUUGCUGACUCUGUUCUGUUGCUCAGCAAAUCAUUCAAUAGAAGCCUUAAGCCUCACGUUGGAUGAACUUUCAGCUUCCUCAUUAUGUCAUUUUGAAGGUUCUCCCACAUGCACAAAUCCUCAAAAUAAUGUAUAAAACUAGCAGUAUAAAUCAGAGCUACUAUCUCAAGAUAUACUCCUAUAUCAUAUUGCAUAUAUUAUGGUAAAUGAUUACACUGAAUAUUUUGCAAGCUCAGUUUUUUCUUUUUUCUUUUGAUGUUUAGGUAUUAUUUUAAAUGUGUUUUUACUAUUGGAAAAUAAGCUACAAGUGGAAUAAAUAAAGUGCUGUUUUACAGAUGCA
RNA transcript from Cyprinus carpio (common carp), 2734 nucleotides. It is a transcript of the gene named cytochrome P450 1B1 pseudogene, with no coding region annotated. NCBI's taxonomy places the organism in Eukaryota, Metazoa, Chordata, Actinopteri, Cypriniformes, Cyprinidae. The record is from RefSeq and is a predicted model, not a curated record.